RNAcentral lists this ribosomal RNA (253 nucleotides) under uncultured bacterium. RNAcentral describes it as "partial 16S ribosomal RNA". It matches the Rfam family "Bacterial small subunit ribosomal RNA", at positions 524 to 776 of the family's 1533-position model. The record is from RNAcentral.
UACGUAGGGUGCGAGCGUUGUCCGGAUUUACUGGGCGUAAAGGGCGCGUAGGCGGCCUUGUCAGUCAGGCGUGAAAGCCCCGGGCUCAACCUGGGAACGGCGCUUGGGACGGCGAGGCUGGAGUUCGGGAGAGGAGAGUGGAAUUCCCAGUGUAGAGGUGAAAUACGUAGAGAUUGGGAAGAACACCAGUGGCGAAGGCGGCUAUCUGGACGGUUUCUGACACUAAGACUCGAAAGCGUGGGGAGCAAACAGG